Gossypium raimondii (Peruvian cotton) is the source of this 107-nucleotide small nucleolar RNA. It matches the Rfam family "Plant small nucleolar RNA R71". From Rfam's summary of the family: R71 is a member of the C/D box family of snoRNAs containing the C (UGAUGA) and D (CUGA) box motifs. Multiple nearly identical copies of this snoRNA have been identified in Arabidopsis, and it is thought to function as a 2'-O-ribose methylation guide for 18S ribosomal RNA. NCBI's taxonomy places the organism in Eukaryota, Viridiplantae, Streptophyta, Magnoliopsida, Malvales, Malvaceae. The record is from Rfam.
AAUCCAUACAUCGGACAUUUCUGAAUUAACUCUUUAAAUUGGUCUCAGGCUUCAUAUAAUGUUUCAUCCUUUAACUGCCAAAAAUAUGUGAUGUCAUUUCUAAGCUU